Non-coding RNA from Dromaius novaehollandiae (emu), 73 nucleotides. The record is from the annotation of a RefSeq genome assembly. Lineage: Eukaryota; Metazoa; Chordata; Aves; Casuariiformes; Dromaiidae.
GCCCGGCUAGCUCAGUUGGUAGAGCAUGAGACCCUUAAUCUCAGGGUCGUGGGUUCGAACCCCACGUCGGGCA